Molecule: long non-coding RNA, 653 nt
Organism: Phascolarctos cinereus (koala)
Lineage: Eukaryota; Metazoa; Chordata; Mammalia; Diprotodontia; Phascolarctidae
Source: RefSeq, a predicted model, not a curated record
CAAAUUGAUGUGUUACUGCUCUUGAAUUUUAAAAGAAAAUAAUUUAAAAAAAUCACUUCCUGUGCUUAUUUGGGAAAAAAAAUCUAAUUCCAGUGAAAGAAUAACUGCAAAGAAAAGUACGGAAAUGACUGCUAUUUAUAAAGGAAAUUAAAUAGAUACUCUGAACAAGAAAUUCUGUGAGGAAGGUAAGCAGAAUACUCUUUGAACAUAGAUAAAAGUCAUUUGGUGAUGGCAGAAAUACAAGCACUGACUACUCUACAUGUCACUGUGAAAAUUUUUCCCUAUUCACCAUGCUUAAGGAAAGUCUAAAGGAAUUUUAUAUCUUGGAGCCCUGAACAACUUUUAGAUGUAACUGAUGAUCCACUCUUGGAAUCUUGGAGAAGUUGUGAAGGACAGAGACACGCCAAAAAACUGGAGAAAUGGAGUACUGUGGAUGUGAACAGUGAAUUUAACAUCGGACUUCGUUGAUGUAUGCCUCCUUUGAUGAUUUAUCUUCCAUAUAACUCCUCCAAUUAUGGCUCCUAAAUUUGUAUAUUUAGCCCUCAUCCCUCUCUCUGGAGUUCCAUUCUUAAGUCUCCAAUUACUCACAGACAUCAAAGACUUCAAGGUCAUCCCCUGACUCCUGGGCCAUCGCCUGUAUUCCUGACUUUUGU